RNAcentral lists this transfer RNA (74 nucleotides) under Hyphomonadaceae bacterium. RNAcentral's name for it is "tRNA-Pro". It matches the Rfam family "tRNA". Rfam says of the family: Transfer RNA (tRNA) molecules are approximately 80 nucleotides in length. Their secondary structure includes four short double-helical elements and three loops (D, anti-codon, and T loops). The record is from RNAcentral. Lineage: Bacteria; Pseudomonadati; Pseudomonadota; Alphaproteobacteria; Hyphomonadales; Hyphomonadaceae.
CGGAGCGUAGCGCAGCUUGGUAGCGCACUUGUCUGGGGGACAAGGGGUCGUGGGUUCGAAUCCCGCCGCUCCGA